GACAGAGGUGGCUAGCGUUGUUCGGAUUCAUUGGGUGUAAAGGGUGCGUAGGCGGCCCAGAAAGUCAGAUGUGAAAGCCCACAGCUCAACUGUGGAAAUGCAUCUGAAACUUCUAGGCUAGAGUGCGAGAGAGGUAAAGGGAAUUCCCGGUGUAAGGGUGAAAUCUGCAGAGAUCGGGAGGAACACCAGUAGCGAAGGCGCUUUACUGGCUCGCAACUGACGCUGAGUGCACGAAGGCGUGGGGAGCAAACGGG
This 254-nucleotide ribosomal RNA is filed under the name uncultured bacterium. Its description in RNAcentral is "partial 16S ribosomal RNA". It matches the Rfam family "Bacterial small subunit ribosomal RNA", at positions 524 to 776 of the family's 1533-position model. The record is from RNAcentral.